Molecule: small nuclear RNA, 103 nt
Organism: Elgaria multicarinata webbii
Lineage: Eukaryota; Metazoa; Chordata; Lepidosauria; Squamata; Anguidae
Source: RefSeq, a predicted model, not a curated record
UUGGCUUACUGGCAGAAAUUCUAAAACUGGAAUGAUGCAGAGAAAAUUAGCUUGACUCCUACAAAAGGGUGAUGCACACAUUUCUGAAACAUUCUACUUUGUA